This 526-nucleotide ribosomal RNA is filed under the name uncultured bacterium. RNAcentral describes it as "bacterial SSU rRNA". It matches the Rfam family "Bacterial small subunit ribosomal RNA", at positions 984 to 1509 of the family's 1533-position model. The record is from RNAcentral.
ACAUCCAGAGAAUUUAGCAGAGAUGCUUUAGUGCCUUCGGGAACUCUGAGACAGGUGCUGCAUGGCUGUCGUCAGCUCGUGUUGUGAAAUGUUGGGUUAAGUCCCGCAACGAGCGCAACCCUUAUCCUUUGUUGCCAGCACGUAAUGGUGGGAACUCAAAGGAGACUGCCGGUGAUAAACCGGAGGAAGGUGGGGAUGACGUCAAGUCAUCAUGGCCCUUACGAGUAGGGCUACACACGUGCUACAAUGGCGCAUACAAAGAGAAGCGACCUCGCGAGAGCAAGCGGACCUCAUAAAGUGCGUCGUAGUCCGGAUUGGAGUCUGCAACUCGACUCCAUGAAGUCGGAAUCGCUAGUAAUCGUAAAUCAGAAUGUUACGGCGAAUACGUUCCCGGGCCUUGUACACACCGCCCGUCACACCAUGGGAGUGGGUUGCAAAAGAAGUAGAUAGCUUAACCUUCGGGAGGGCGUUUACCACUUUGUGAUUCAUGACUGGGGUGAAGUCGUAACAAGGUAAGCGUAGUGCU